ACCGGGGCUAAGCUAUACACCGAAAUUGCGGAUUUACACUUGAAAGAUAGUGUAAGUGGUAGAGGAGCAUUCUGUAGUAGGGAGAAGCAAAAGCGAGAGCAUUUGUGGACGAGGCAGAAGAGAGAAUGCUGGAAUAAGUAGCGAGAGCAAGGUGAGAAUCCUUGCCGUCGAAAGUCUAAGGUUUCCUGGGGAAGGUUCGUCCGCCCAGGGUAAGUCGGGACCUAAGGUGAGGCUGAAAAGCGUAGCCGAUGGAUAGCAGGUUGAGAUUCCUGCACUAUAGAUAUACUUAAAAGAUGCAAGGGACGCAGGAGUGGAAGAUAAGCGAGGAAGAGGAAAGACUCGUAUCGCAAGAUAUAGUGAAAAUAAAGUAACGAAUUAUCAAGAAGCACACUGACGAGAAAAGCUUGUAGAUAUUGUAUAUAAAUACCCGUACCGCAAACCGACACAGGUAGAUGAGGAGAGGAUCCUAAGACGAGCGGGAGAAGCAUUGUUAAGGAACUCGGCAAAUUGACCCCGUAACUUAGGGAGAAGGGGUGCCAAGGUAGAACUUGGCCGCAGUGAAGAGGUUCAAGCAACUGUUUAACAAAAACACAGGUUUCUGCUAAAUCGAAAGAUGAAGUAUAGGAGCUGACGCCUGCCCAGUGCUGGAAGGUCAAAGGGAAGUGUUAGUAAAAACUUACGAAGCACAGAACUCAAGCCCCAGUGAACGGCGGCCGUAACUAUAACGGUCCUAAGGUAGCGAAAUUCCUUGUCAGGUAAGUUCUGACCCGCACGAAAGGCGUAAUGAUUUGAACACUGUCUCGACAAUGUACCCGGCGAAAUUGUAGUACUAGUGAAGAUGCUAGUUACCUGCGACAAGACAGAAAGACCCCAUGGAGCUUUACUGCAGCUUGAUACUGGGUUUUGGUAAUUUAUGUACAGGAUAGGUGGGAUACGAAGAAGCAAGUGCGCCAGCAUUUGUGGAGUAGACGUUGGGAUACCACUCUUAAAUUAUUGAAAUUCUAACCUGUGAUCAUGAAUCUGGUCAGGGGACAAUGUCAGGCGGGCAGUUUGACUGGGGCGGUCGCCUCCUAAAGAGUAACGGAGGCGCCCAAAGGUUUCCUCAGCACGGACAGAAAUCGUGCAAAAGAGUGUAAAGGCAGAAGGAAGCUUAACUGGGAGACUGACAAGUCGAGCAGAUACGAAAGUAGGGCUUAGUGAUCCGGCGGUAGUGAGUGGAAAUGCCGUCGCUCAACGGACAAAAGUUACCCUGGGGAUAACAGGCUUAUCUCCCCCAAGAGUUCACAUCGACGGGGAGGUUUGGCACCUCGAUGUCGGCUCAUCGCAUCCUGGAGCGGAAGUACGUUCCAAGGGUUGGGCUGUUCGCCCAUUAAAGCGGUACGCGAGCUGGGUUCAGAACGUCGUGAGACAGUUCGGUCCUUAUCUGUCGCAGGCGUAGGAUAUUUGAAGGGAGCUGUCCUUAGUACGAGAGGACCAGGAUGGACAUACCGAUGGUGUAUCAGUUGUCACACCAGUGGCACGGCUGAGUAGCUAAGUAUGGAAGGGAUAAACGCUGAAAGCAUCUAAGUGUGAAGUCCACCUUAAGAUAAGAUAUCCCAUUGC
RNAcentral lists this ribosomal RNA (1602 nucleotides) under human gut metagenome. RNAcentral describes it as "bacterial LSU rRNA". It matches the Rfam family "Bacterial large subunit ribosomal RNA", at positions 1174 to 2820 of the family's 2925-position model. The record is from RNAcentral.